Molecule: ribosomal RNA, 497 nt
Filed under: uncultured bacterium
Lineage: Bacteria
Description: partial 16S ribosomal RNA
Rfam family: Bacterial small subunit ribosomal RNA
Source: RNAcentral
GACGAACGCUGGCGGCGUGCCUAAUACAUGCAAGUUGAGCGCUGAAGGUUGGUACUUGUACCAACUGGAUGAGCAGCGAACGGGUGAGUAACGCGUGGGGAAUCUGCCUUUGAGCGGGGGACAACAUUUGGAAACGAAUGCUAGUACCGCAUAAAAACUUUAAACACAAGUUUUAAGUUUGAAAGAUGCAAUUGCAUCACUCAAAGAUGAUCCCGCGUUGUAUUAGCUAGUUGGUGAGGUAAAGGCUCACCAAGGCGAUGAUACAUAGCCGACCUGAGAGGGUGAUCGGCCACAUUGGGACUGAGACACGGCCCAAACUCCUACGGGAGGCAGCAGUAGGGAAUCUUCGGCAAUAGACGAAAGUCUGACCGAGCAACGCCGCGUGAGUGAAGAAGGUUUUCGGAUCGUAAAACUCGGUUGGUAGAGAAGAACGUUGGUGAGAGUGGAAAGCUCAUCAAGUGACGGUAACUACCCAGAAAGGGACGGCUAACUACGUG